Long non-coding RNA from Brienomyrus brachyistius, 2854 nucleotides. RefSeq lists it as uncharacterized. Lineage: Eukaryota; Metazoa; Chordata; Actinopteri; Osteoglossiformes; Mormyridae. The transcript has 4 exons. The record is from RefSeq and is a predicted model, not a curated record.
GCGUAGUGAAACAGCCUUUGCUAAAAGCCCCCGCUCUCUGAAAGCCGCUCCGGCGCUUCAGGCUCAGACCUCAGGCUCAGACUUCAGGCUCCGCCCGGCGUCAUUCCCACCGCAUCCGGCGGACCUGCUCCGCUCUCCGCUCCGCGCCGCCGCUCCGCACCUCGGAAAAGCUGCAGCGCACUUUUAAAAAGGGCGAGAGCAGGAUAAGCUGCUUUAUUUCAUCUCUGCCUAGAUCGACCCACGACUUCACCAGUAAUAGUCUGCAUAUGAAGUCAUAAAUUUUCGUUUAUUUGCCUCCUGUAUAGUAAAGACCGACGUUUACAGCAGUUUUUUUUUUUUUUUUUACAGAUUUACUGGCAAAUUCUGGGAAACUAAAUAUCUUAAAGGGCGGAAAGGGUGUAGAAGAGGAUCAUAUUAAAGGAAGACAGUAACAUCUUCAGCCUGUUUCUUUUAUAGUGCUUUAAUUGUUUGAUUUAGAUGGGGGAGAGACGGAUAUUCCCAGAAAUCAGCCCCUUAUCGGCCCCUGCCAAAAAGUGCAUGUCUUCGCUCGGCAGUGAAUGACCCUAGGGAGGGUCUCGAGCUUGAGAAAACACGGCAUGUCUGAUGAUGAGAAUGUCACCCAAGGAGAUGAUUGAGGUUCAAUAAAACCAGCCAGGGAACCUGAAGUUUCAGCAUGUUUUCAUCAACUGUAACAUAAUACUGGGUAAAGGUAACCUCUUAGGUGUCUGUCCAAAUUGUUUCUUUCAAUGAGUCUCAGAUUCACCCACAAUGCCUUGGCUUAACUUUUGUUAUGAGUCUGUAGGUAAAUGUGGAAACAAUGUGGUCAACAGUAAGUAAAGCAAACCGUGAAAAUGCAUCCACUACACAGGCCUGACUGGCUGAGGCGCCUUCGAGAAUGAAACCGAUCACCCUUCUGCUUUCAGAUGGCAGGUGACACUGUGGUAUUCCCAGGACAGACGUGCCCCCCCCCCCCCCCAUCUGUCGUCCUGUGUGAGAAUCCCUCUUUCCUGCAAACAGGGGCAGCAGUCAGAAAUAGCUUCCACACGGUCUCACGUUCCCCAGCACUGACCUUCUAUCUCCCCUGGGACAGCAGGACUUUCUAUUUUUUUUCUUUACAAGCCUUUUAUAAAAACAGAGGGUAGUACUCAGCAAAAAUAAUUAACUGUGUGCAGUGUUUGGAUUACUAGUAGGAAAUGUCAAGUGUAAGAGCUUGGAGAUGUGCACAGUUUACACGCUGAGUAUGGGGGUGGGAUGCAGAGGCAGCGCGGGGGGGGGGGGCACAUCUGUUUACUCCAUCCCUGCCAUCAUUCAGGGGAAGUAAGACACUGAAACGCAAACAAGCACUGUGUUUCGAAAGUGAGCUAAGAGCCCCAGCAGGCCGCCAUUGGUGCACUAACAGCACAAUGCUCUUCAGAAACCUCCGAUCGACCACACGUGUCUAAAUCCAUCCAGUUAAAAGGAAGGCGGAAUUCUUCUCAGACGAAAAUAUAGAUGCAAGGAAGUGUGAUGUGUUCUUGUGGUUUGCUGUUGUUUACCCGGAAAGCGGGUCAGGGCUGACUAGCCAAGAAAGUGUGUCAGAUAGCAAGGUGAGUGAGUCAGGCAUUCAUAACCACUUCCCCAUUCAACACUAAAGUCAAAUUUGCUGAUGACAUUACCACAGUAGGCCUGAUAUUGGACAAUAAUGAGACAGGUUACAGUGAGGAGGUUCAGCAUCUGGCAGAACGGUGCUGCCACAAUAUCCUGGACCGAAACACUACAGAAACAAAAGAAAUUAUGUUGAGCUCAGGAAAUCAAAGCGCACAGAGCAGGGUGGGGAGUUUUAAGCUCCUUGGUGUGACCUCACCUGGACCACACACAUCUGCCAUCAGGUGGGGGAGGCACAAUGGAGGCUUUACUUCCUAAGGAAGUUAGGGCACGCUCACCUCCCUCAUCACCUGCAGACCUACUUCUAACGGUCAACAAGAGAGAGCCUCCUGACCUACUAGCUGCACAGAAGAGAACAGAAAGGACCUGCAGCAAGUGGUGUGGAGGCGGCAGAGCAUGCCGUACACUACCCCCCCCCCUCCCCCCCAAGAGAUAUUUACACCAACUGACUUCAAAAGAAAGCCAGUUGCAUUUGAAAGGAUUCCACCCACCCUGAACAUCACCUCUUCUCCACACUGGCCUAUGAAAAAGAUACAGAACAUUUAGGACCAAAACAGAUAAAAACAGCUUCCUUCCACCGGCAGCUGAAAGAAAUGAAAAUCUUUACAGAGCCACCCUUUGUCAGAGAAGAACCAUUAACAAUAGUCAGUCCCAUUACGUGUUGGAUUCAGCAGCAGCAUUUAUCCUUGUGGGGACGAAAAAAUGUCCCCACAAGGUAAAAAAACUACAGGCUUUUAUCAUAUUGUGGAGAAAUAGGUCCCCACAGUGUAAUAAUUACAAAACCGAACAGACACACCCACAUACACACACACACACACACACACACACACACACACACACACACACACACACACACACACACACACACACACACACAGAGCAGGACAGCAGUUUACUUGAUAAAGAUCCACCUGCAGGGGCCUUUCCAAUGGUGGGUAUGUCGUCUGAGAAACGGACCGGCACUUUCUACGAAGUGGAAAGCAUGUGGAGCCCAUGGAGGACCUCAGAGACAGCACCACCUGCAGGCACAGCACCCCCCUGCACCAUGGAUGAGCCGCUGAUGGAAUGCUGCUGGACCGCGUCCGCCUCCCAGAGCCCUGCUCAGUCCUCUGCGCCGGGGACUCGCUGUGGCUGCAAUGCUGCUGUCCCAGCAUGAAAGGCAGGCGUGGAUGCAGGAAUGAGCUCCUCUUCUUCUGUUCUUUUAACAAGC